UACGAAGGGGGCUAGCGUUGUUCGGAAUUACUGGGCGUAAAGCGCACGUAGGCGGACAUUUAAGUCAGGGGUGAAAUCCCAGAGCUCAACUCUGGAACUGCCUUUGAUACUGGGUGUCUUGAGUAUGGAAGAGGUGAGUGGAAUUCCGAGUGUAGAGGUGAAAUUCGUAGAUAUCAGGAAGAACACCCGUGGCUAAGGCGGCUCUCUAGUACGGUACUGACGCUGAGACGCGAAAGCGUGGGGAGCGAACAGG
RNAcentral lists this ribosomal RNA (253 nucleotides) under uncultured bacterium. RNAcentral's name for it is "partial 16S ribosomal RNA". It matches the Rfam family "Bacterial small subunit ribosomal RNA", at positions 524 to 776 of the family's 1533-position model. The record is from RNAcentral.